Molecule: ribosomal RNA, 262 nt
Filed under: uncultured archaeon
Lineage: Archaea
Description: partial 16S ribosomal RNA
Rfam family: Archaeal small subunit ribosomal RNA
Source: RNAcentral
AGUCACUGACAUUAGAUACCCGUGUAGUCCAGGGUGUAAACGCUGCAGACUUGGUGUUGGAGGCCCUUUGGGGGCAUUCAGUGCCGGAGAGAAGUUGUUAAGUCUGCUACUUGGGAGUACGUCCGCAAGGAUGAAACUUAAGGAAUUGGCGGGGGAGCACCGCAACGGGAGGAGCGUGCGGUUUAAUUGGAUUCAACGCCGAAAACUCACCAGCAGCGACUGUUACAUGAAAGUCAGGUUGAUGACCUUACUAGAUUUUCAG